RNAcentral lists this small nucleolar RNA (83 nucleotides) under Mucor circinelloides 1006PhL. The record is from RNAcentral. Lineage: Eukaryota; Fungi; Mucoromycota; Mucoromycetes; Mucorales; Mucoraceae.
AGAAGGCUAUACGGACGCAGCCAUUUAUUACAUGAAACGGCUGGUCAAAGGUGUACCCAAAAAGAGCAUUUUGAAAAACAUUC